Molecule: ribosomal RNA, 404 nt
Filed under: Ameerega yoshina
Lineage: Eukaryota; Metazoa; Chordata; Amphibia; Anura; Dendrobatidae
Description: partial 16S ribosomal RNA
Rfam family: Bacterial large subunit ribosomal RNA
Source: RNAcentral
CCUAACCGUGCGAAGGUAGCGUAAUCACUUGUUCUUUAAAUGAGGACUAGUAUGAACGCCCCCACGAGGGCUGCACUGUCUCCUUUUUCUAAUCAAUGAAACUAAUCUCCCCGUGAAGAAGCGGGGAUAAUUCUAUAAGACGAGAAGACCCUAUGGAGCUUUAAACAACUGAAACACUUGCUUUUCCAUUAACCUCUUCCGAGUUCUUUACUUCACUCAAGCAUUUUUAUUUCUAGUUUUAGGUUGGGGUGACCACGGAGCAAAACUAAACCUCCACGAAGAAAUGAAUACUUUUUAAGCCACAAACUACUUUUUUAAGCAUCAACAAAUUGACCUUCAUUGACCCAAUAUAUUGAUCAACGAACCAAGUUACCCUAGGGAUAACAGCGCAAUCUACUUCAAGA